This 1094-nucleotide long non-coding RNA is filed under the name Olea europaea subsp. europaea. The record is from RNAcentral. Lineage: Eukaryota; Viridiplantae; Streptophyta; Magnoliopsida; Lamiales; Oleaceae.
AAACCUAAAACCGGCAUAUUUUCUUUGUCUUUUGCGAAAUCAUUUUUCUCCCCCAAAUCUUGCGAACCCUGACGACGUCGGCACAAAACCUCUCCUAGCCUCCAACGCCUGCACACAAAAAAAAAAGAGGCAACCGUAUGUCACUUCUCACUACCGAACCGGCAUAAUCCCAGAAGCAUUUGUCAGCGCCAACACCAAAUCUGAAAGGUUUUUCGAUGUCGGAACCAAAAAAGGGAUCUCAACGUUGUUUCUGUUCGACGACGGGUCCCACCUUCUCCAAUAGAAUUUAUAGCAAGGGACGGUAAGUUUGUUGUUAGGUUUACAUGAGUGUAAGUCUUGUUGUAAGAAAUCAAUUGAGGCAUGUAAUCACACGUAAUGUUUGCGUUGGUGGAUUUUAUGGCCAAAUUCAAACCUGUGGAAGCUGACUGAGUUGGUGCUGGACUUAAUGCUCGGGAAGGUGACGUGGUGGUGGUGGGUGCUGUGGAUGGAGUUACAAUUUGAUUGUCUUGAUGAAUGUAGAUUUUGUGGCAAUAUCGUGAUGAAUGUAGAUUUUGUGGAGUUACAAUUUGAUUGUCUUCUUGAUGGAAUUGCAAUUUUGUGGUAGUAUCGUGUUUGCUUUUUGCUGAAUGUAGAUUCAUAUUGUGAAGUGGGAUGUUACUGUAAAUUCGCAUGUAUGUAACUUCAAAAGUUUAUAAAUUUUUUACUAAUAUAGAAUUCAUGUUUAUGGUCAGAGAAAAUUGGUUCCAAACCGAGGAAAUGGAGCUGGCUCGAGCCAAGCGCAUAAGGAAGUUUAAAAUUCUCAAUUCGUGCCAACUCCAGGCUUCCAGCAGCAAUCUGAAAUUUUUUUAAGUUCAUCCCCACCAAAACUAAUCAUUCCUGAUCAAUUCGAAAUAGACCAAAUGAUUAGAGAAAUAGGGAAUCUGUUUUUGAAAAGUUUGAUGUAUUUGUUGAUGUGCAUAGGUAACUACUGGUGACAAUUUAGAGGAGGUUAUUUUGAUGGUGUGGAUGAUGUUUUGGCUUUGUGAUUGUGUCCAUUUUUUUGUGUUGCUGGAGAUUUAUUUUUGGUCGUAAAGGCAACAUUAAUGUAAUCAGCU